GGGUAUAUAGCUCAGUUGGUAGAGCAUUGGGCUUUUAACCUAAUGGCCGCAGGUUCAAGUCCUGCUAUACCUA
Molecule: transfer RNA, 73 nt
Filed under: Chaetosphaeridium globosum
Lineage: Eukaryota; Viridiplantae; Streptophyta; Coleochaetophyceae; Coleochaetales; Chaetosphaeridiaceae
Description: tRNA-Lys
Rfam family: tRNA
About the family: Transfer RNA (tRNA) molecules are approximately 80 nucleotides in length. Their secondary structure includes four short double-helical elements and three loops (D, anti-codon, and T loops). Further hydrogen bonds mediate the characteristic L-shaped molecular structure. tRNAs have two regions of fundamental functional importance: the anti-codon, which is responsible for specific mRNA codon recognition, and the 3' end, to which the tRNAs corresponding amino acid is attached (by aminoacyl-tRNA synthetases). tRNAs cope with the degeneracy of the genetic code in two manners: having more than one tRNA (with a specific anti-codon) for a particular amino acid; and 'wobble' base-pairing, i.e. permitting non-standard base-pairing at the 3rd anti-codon position.
Source: RNAcentral